This 253-nucleotide ribosomal RNA is filed under the name uncultured bacterium. RNAcentral describes it as "partial 16S ribosomal RNA". It matches the Rfam family "Bacterial small subunit ribosomal RNA", at positions 524 to 776 of the family's 1533-position model. The record is from RNAcentral.
UACGGAGGGUGCAAGCGUUAUCCGGAUUUAUUGGGUUUAAAGGGUCCGUAGGCGGAUGAUUAAGUCAGUGGUGAAAGCCCACAGCUCAACUGUGGAACUGCCAUUGAUACUGGUUAUCUUGAGUACGAUUGAAGUUGGCGGAAUAAGUCAUGUAGCGGUGAAACGCUUAGAUAUGACUUAGAACACCGAUUGCGAAGGCAGCCAACUAAGCCGUAACUGACGCUGAGGGACGAAAGCGUGGGGAGCGAACAGG